GAUGAACGCUGGCGGCGUGCCUAAUACAUGCAAGUCGAGCGAACAGACGAGGAGCUUGCUCCUCUGACGUUAGCGGCGGACGGGUGAGUAACACGUGGAUAACCUACCUAUAAGACUGGGAUAACUUCGGGAAACCGGAGCUAAUACCGGAUAAUAUAUUGAACCGCAUGGUUCAAUAGUGAAAGACGGUUUUGCUGUCACUUAUAGAUGGAUCCGCGCCGCAUUAGCUAGUUGGUAAGGUAACGGCUUACCAAGGCGACGAUGCGUAGCCGACCUGAGAGGGUGAUCGGCCACACUGGAACUGAGACACGGUCCAGACUCCUACGGGAGGCAGCAGUAGGGAAUCUUCCGCAAUGGGCGAAAGCCUGACGGAGCAACGCCGAGUGAGUGAUGAAGGUCUUCGGAUCGUAAAACUCUGUUAUUAGGGAAGAACAAAUGUGUAAGUAACUAUGCACGUCUUGACGGUACCUAAUCAGAAAGCCACGGCUAACUACGUG
Molecule: ribosomal RNA, 497 nt
Filed under: uncultured bacterium
Lineage: Bacteria
Description: partial 16S ribosomal RNA
Rfam family: Bacterial small subunit ribosomal RNA
Source: RNAcentral